GACGAACGCUGGCGGCGUGCUUAACACAUGCAAGUCGAACGGAAAGGCCCUGCUUUUGUGGGGUGCUCGAGUGGCGAAAGGGUGAGUAACACGUGAGUAACCUGCCCUUGACUUUGGGAUAACUUCAGGAAACUGGGGCUAAUACCGGAUAGGAGCUCCUGCUGCAUGGUGGGGGUUGGAAAGUUUCGGCGGUUGGGAUGGACUCGCGGCUUAUCAGCUUGUUGGUGGGGUAGUGGCUUACCAAGGCUUUGACGGGUAGCCGGCCUGAGAGGGUGACCGGCCACAUUGGGACUGAGAUACGGCCCAGACUCCUACGGGAGGCAGCAGUGGGGAAUAUUGCACAAUGGGCGGAAGCCUGAUGCAGCAACGCCGCGUGCGGGAUGACGGCCUUCGGGUUGUAAACCGCUUUCGCCUGUGACGAAGCGUGAGUGACGGUAAUGGGUAAAGAAGCACCGGCUAACUACGUG
RNAcentral lists this ribosomal RNA (467 nucleotides) under uncultured bacterium. RNAcentral's name for it is "partial 16S ribosomal RNA". It matches the Rfam family "Bacterial small subunit ribosomal RNA", at positions 28 to 507 of the family's 1533-position model. The record is from RNAcentral.